Molecule: long non-coding RNA, 3741 nt
Organism: Cynocephalus volans (Philippine flying lemur)
Lineage: Eukaryota; Metazoa; Chordata; Mammalia; Dermoptera; Cynocephalidae
Exons: 3
Source: RefSeq, a predicted model, not a curated record
GGCGGUCAUCGCCUUCGAGCCCAGCAAACUCCAGAAAGUUCCCGGCAUAGCCAGCAAUAGGAUGACCGGUAAGGGGAUCGUUAACCCUUGACUUGGUGUUGUCAGCACCAUGCUCUCACAGGUUUCUUCUGUCUCUGCUGCCAAUGGAGAAGCUGGAAGGGGCUGAGGGUAGGCCCCCACCCAGGGGCGCUGCUGGGUGGGGCGGAGGGCAGCCUAGGCCUGCAGCCCAUCCCAGCAGCCUCUGUCAGAUCUGGGACGACCAUUAUUUCUUCCAGCCCUGGAGUCCACUUGGGUUACUCAGAGUUCAGGAUGGUACAAACUGGGGGAAGGAGACUACUCCCUCAGUGUGUGUCUGCAGUCAGAGGAGCCUUUGUACAGGUUGGAGACCCUGGGCCUGGACUCUGUGGAGCUCUACGUGAAUUUCUUUGUAUCUCUGAGAAAUUGACUGUAUGGUUAUUUCCCCCUGAUCUGUCCCUCAGUGAUUUGACUUGUGUGAAUUUGUGACUGAGUAUGUGGGAGGCAGAUGGAGACAUCCACAGUAUGGCUAUGGACAUCCAGGUGUCUGUGCUUGCUGCUGUGUGACCGUGUGUACCUGGGUGCGUAUGUGUCUGAGACACAGAUACAGACAUGCUCAGCCCGUGGGAUGUUUCCCUUUAAGUUGUGCUGUACAUGUGUAAGCAUGAGACCAUAUUUUGAACAUACAAUUGUCUGAAUCUGUGUUGUGUUUUCACUUUUCUUUAUACGUGUGUGUCAGACGAUUUGUGGACAUACACAUACUGAUUCCAUCUGUCUAUCUUUGCUGCUCUAUGCAGUGGGUUUGCAUGCUUUGUUGGGUAUUGAAAUGUGUGUUUGUCUUUGUGUCUGUUGUCAUGCGCACACAUGUAUAUACAUGUAUGAGUUUGGGAGCCAAGCUACCUGGGUUGAAUCCUGCCACGAUCCUUUUACAACUGUGUGACUUCAGGCAAGUUGCUCAUUCUCUGAGUUUUCCCUACUAUAAAAUGAGGCUAUACACAGAAGCCAGCUCAGUUGUGCAGAUUAAAGAGAUAAAAGUUGUGAAGAGUUUAUAGCCAAGCCUGACACCACCACGCUCCUACUGAUGUUUCCUAUCAUUGUCAUUUUAUGUAGGGUGCAUGUGUGUCUGGGGCCGGGAUCCUGCCUGUCUGCCCAGGGCCUGCAGCCUUCUACCCUCUGUGCUUAGCUGGGAGGAAGAGAAGGGACAUCUAGGGCACUUACCUGUGUCAUCAGGUUCUGGUAGCCUGGGCAGAGGAGUCUGGCAACUCUGCCUUUCUCACAUGGGAAAUGCUAAAUAUUUACAGUUGGGGCUUUUGAGCUGAGCAUCAUAGCUCUCCUCCCAGGUUCUGGGGGCUGGGGAGUGGUUACAAAGCCUCCUCUCUCCUUCUCUCCCACCAGCCUUCCCCUUCUUCAGCUCUGAGGCCCUGCUGGACCCUUGGCUCUUCCUCAGACUUACUGUGCUUGCUGCAAGCCUUGCUGGAUUGAGGGUCUAGGUCUUGAGAGGUGACAGGGUGGGAGUGCAGGUGGAGGUUGAUUUUGUCUGUCGGGAGACCUCAGCCUCAGCUUAACUGGGGGGCUUCUAGGCCUCCUCCUUACCCCAAGCUGAGAUUGUGAAAGGCAGUAGGUGUUACACACUCUAUCUCCAAGGGGUUUGGUCCAUCCCUGUUGUGGGAGCCUGGUGUCUGCAAGCUGGAGACAAGGAGAAGAACCUGCCCCACCCUUGGGAGCUCCUGCUUGGUGUGCAAUUAUGGUAGUGAAUAUGCCCUUCUCCAGCUCAGAACCCUACACAGCUCCUACUGACUCAGAGUAAAACCCCAGGUCUUCCUUUUUUUUUUUUUUAAAAAAAGAUGAUUGGUAAGGGGAUCUUAACUCUUGGCUUGGUGUUGUCAGCACCAUGCUCAGCCAGUGAGCCAACAGGCCAUCCCUAUAUAGGAUCCGAACCCGUGGCCUUGGUGUUAUCAGCACUGCACUCUCCCGAGUGAGCCAUGGGCCGGCCCAUCCCAGGUCUUUCUUGAGGUCCACAAGGCCCUGCAGACUUUGCCCCAUGUUGAGCUCUUUUACCUGCCCGUAAUCCUACCGACUGGGCCAAUUGUCAAGCUAGGGCUGGGUCUGGAGCUCACAGACCCCUCAAGCCCGUUCACAGACUGGGUCACAAACCCUUCACACACCAGGCUAGGUCCCCAGACCGCUCACAUGCAGGUCUAUGAGCUAGGUAACUGGCAAACAGGUCCUUGGAAGCCGUAGGUUGGAGAGCAUGGCUGUGCAGGUGGACACCCAUGGCAGACGCCAGCCAAAGUUGCAGCACCAUGCAUGCACCCUAACUCCAUACACACACACACAAUUUGCUUACAAAGAAUAUGCAGCACCACCUGCAACCUGCCCUGAGGUGAGGGAGCCUGACCAAACUAUUCUAUUUUUCCAACACCCCAUCACCUCCUCCUGCUUUCCCCUUGCUCACUCUGUUCCAGCCUCACAGGCCUCCCUGCUGUUCCUUGGGCAUAUCAAAUGCAGGGUCCAACCUCAGGGCCUUUGCACUUGCUGUUCCCUCCGUGUGGAAUGCUAUUCUCCUCUCUCGUCCUUCGUGUCUUUGCUCAAGUGUCACCUUUUCAGUGAGGACUUUCCUGACUCUAUUUAAAUCCCACCCCACAUCCCAGGACUCCCACCUCCUUCCCUGCUUGAUUUUUCUCAUAAGCACUAUCACGCUCUGUUUUACUUAUUUAUUGUUUUCCCAACUAGAAUGUCAGAUCCAUAGGGCAGGGAUUUUGUCUGUUUUGGUUAAGGCUGUGUCCCCAUUGCCUGGAACAGCCCCUGGCACACAAUAGGUACUCAAGGAGUGUUUGUUGAAUGUGUGAGGCAAAAUGUUGAUAAUGAAGACCGUAGGACACAUGCCUGUGUGGCCACCAGGAUGUGUGCAUUUGGACAUGAAGGAAUUCAGUGCAGAUGGGGAUGACAUGUGGACACAUGUUCCAAGUGGUGUCAGGUGCACAUGUGUGGAGGGUUAGAAAUCUUGAUUCUCGUUUGAUUUUAGAAUAGGGUUUUUAGGUAAAUGCAUGUAUGGGGCAAAAGCCCUCAGGUAGGAGGCGACAGCCUACAGCCAGAGGGCAAAACCCAUCUAAUCAGCUCUAAUCACUGUUUAGGUAUGGGAUUGUAUACUUUAAUGAUUUCAGAGCUAACAGAUGGUUGUCUUACCGAUCCUGUUAAGAGAUUUUAAGAAUUGCCGAAGGGAAAGAUGUGAAAAAAAAUGUUUCUUAGGGGCAAGCUGUCUGUUGGAGCACUUUAGAAAUAAUUGUACUUUGGGCCGAGCCCGUGGCGCACUCGGUAGCGUGCUGCGCUAGCAGCGCGGCGACGCUCCCGCCGCGGGUUCGGAUCCUAUAUAGGAAUGGCCGGUGCACUCACUGGCUGAGUGCCGGUCACGAAAAAGACAAAAAAAAAAAAGAAAUAAUUGUACUUUGAUUUUAUCAUAAGAAUGUUACUUUUGCUUAAGAAGAGGUUAUACUUUAGAUAAUGAGCCAGUUUGACCAACUUAGCUUUUCACUAAUUGUACUUUGGCAUGUCACAUUGUUAAUUUUACUGAUGUUACUAGUUUCCAUUGCUUAAGCUAUACUUAGCCAUAGGUAACUUUUGUAACACUGCCCAUGUCCUUGUGUCUUUUUGUAAUGAUUGAAUCAACGGAAUUUUCUUGUGAAACUUCCUUGUCUUUACAAUAAAGAAGAAAAGCUAACUUUGAAU